RNAcentral lists this ribosomal RNA (505 nucleotides) under uncultured bacterium. RNAcentral describes it as "partial 16S ribosomal RNA". It matches the Rfam family "Bacterial small subunit ribosomal RNA", at positions 28 to 507 of the family's 1533-position model. The record is from RNAcentral.
GACGAACGCUGGCGGCGUGCCUAAUACAUGCAAGUAGAACGCACAGUUUAUACCGUAGCUUGCUACACCAUAGACUGUGAGUUGCGAACGGGUGAGUAACGCGUAGGUAACCUGUCUGGUAGCGUGGGAUAACUAUUGGAAACGCUAGCUAAUACCUCAUACUAUUAAUUAUUGCAUGAUAAUUGAUUGAAAGAUGCAACUGCAUCACUACUAGUUAGACUUUCGUUGUAUUAGCUAGUAGGUGAGGUAACGGCUCACCUAGGCGACGAUACAUAGCCGACCGGCGAGGACGAUCGGCCACCCUGGGACUGAGACACGGCCCAGACGCCUUCGGGAGGCAGCAGGAGGGAAACUUCGGGAAGGGAUGGAAGACUGAGCGAGAAACGCCGAGGCAUGGAAGAAGGGUGUCGGAUCGUAAAGCUCGGUUGUCAGAGAAGAACGGGUGUGAGAGUGGAAAGUACACACUGUGACGGUAACUGACCAGAAAGGGACGGCUAACUACGUG